UAGAGUUUGAUCAUGGCUCAGCGCGAACGCUGGCGGCAUGGCUAAAACAUGCAAGUCGAACGCGAAAGUGGAGCUUGCUCCGCGAGUAGAGUGGCGAAAGGGCGAGGAAUGCGUUUCUAACGUGCCCCAAGGUCAGGGAUAGUCCAGGGAAACUUGGAUUAAUACCUGAUGACCCUGCGACGCCGUAUGGCGAUGCAGGCAAAGGCUUGCUGCCUUGGGAGCGGGGAACGUGCUAUCAGGUUGUUGGUGAGGUAACGGCUCACCAAACCGAAGACGGCUAGCGGGUGUGAGAGCACGACCCGCCGCAUCGGGACUGAGACACUGCCCGGACUCCUACGGGAGGCUGCAGUAACGAAUAUUCCGCAAUGCGCGAAAGCGUGACGGAGCAAUGCCGCGUGCAGGAUGAAGCCCCUCGGGGUGUAAACUGCUGUCAGGGGAUAGGAACACAAUGACCAUCCCCAGAGGAAGGGCCGGCUAACUUCGUGCCAGCAGCCGCGGUAAUACGAAGGGCCCGAGCGUUGCGCGGUGUCAUUGGGCUUAAAGGGUGCGCAGGCGGACCCGAAAGUGCCUUGUGAAAGCCCUCGGCUUAACCGAGGAAUUGCUUGGUAGACUGCGGGUCUUGAGCUCGGCAGGGGCGGUCGGAACUCUAGGUGGAGCGGUGAAAUGCGUAGAUAUCUAGAGGAACGCCAAAGGUGAAGACAGACCGCUGGGCCGACGCUGACGCUCAGGCACGAAAGCGUGGGGAGCGAACGGGAUUAGAUACCCCGGUAGUCCACGCCGUAAACGAUGUGCACUAGAUGCUGGAGGUGCUGACACCAUCAGCGUCGAAGCAAAAGUGAUUAGUGCACCGCCUGGGGAGUACGGUCGCAAGGCUAAAACUCAAAGGAAUUGACGGGGGCUCACACAAGCGGUGGAGCAUGUGGCUUAAUUCGAGGCAACGCGAAGAACCUUAUCCUGGGUUUGACAUGCAGUGUUCAAUCGGUGAAAGCCGAUGGCCUUCGGGCGAACUGCACAGGUGCUGCAUGGCUGUCGUCAGCUCGUGCUGUGAAGCGUCGGGUUAAGUCCCUUAACGAGCGAAACCCCUGUCGCUAGUUGCUAACAGGUUAUGCUGAGGACUCUAGCGAGACUGCCGGUGUUAAACCGGAGGAAGGUGGGGACGACGUCAAGUCCUCAUGGCCUUUAUGCCCAGGGCUGCACACGUGCUACAAUGGCGUGUACAAAGCGAUGCAAUGUCGCAAGGCGGAGCAAAUCGCACAAAACACGCCCCAGUUCGGAUUGAGGUCUGCAACUCGACCUCAUGAAGCCGGAAUCGCUAGUAAUCGCGUAUCAGCUACGACGCGGUGAAUAUGUUCCUGAGCCUUGUAGACACCGCCCGU
This 1376-nucleotide ribosomal RNA is filed under the name uncultured bacterium. RNAcentral's name for it is "bacterial SSU rRNA". It matches the Rfam family "Bacterial small subunit ribosomal RNA". The record is from RNAcentral.